RNAcentral lists this ribosomal RNA (1371 nucleotides) under Helicobacter pylori. RNAcentral describes it as "bacterial SSU rRNA". It matches the Rfam family "Bacterial small subunit ribosomal RNA". Lineage: Bacteria; Pseudomonadati; Campylobacterota; Epsilonproteobacteria; Campylobacterales; Helicobacteraceae. The record is from RNAcentral.
GCCUAAUACAUGCAAGUCGAACGAUGAAGCUUCUAGCUUGCUAGAAUGCUGAUUAGUGGCGCACGGGUGAGUAACGCAUAGGUUAUGUGCCUCUUAGUUUGGGAUAGCCAUUGGAAACGAUGAUUAAUACCAGAUACUCCCUACGGGGGAAAGAUUUAUCGCUAAGAGAUCAGCCUAUGUCCUAUCAGCUUGUUGGUAAGGUAAUGGCUUACCAAGGCUAUGACGGGUAUCCGGCCUGAGAGGGUGAACGGACACACUGGAACUGAGACACGGUCCAGACUCCUACGGGAGGCAGCAGUAGGGAAUAUUGCUCAAUGGGGGAAACCCUGAAGCAGCAACGCCGCGUGGAGGAUGAAGGUUUUAGGAUUGUAAACUCCUUUUGUUAGAGAAGAUAAUGACGGUAUCUAACGAAUAAGCACCGGCUAACUCCGUGCCAGCAGCCGCGGUAAUACGGAGGGUGCAAGCGUUACUCGGAAUCACUGGGCGUAAAGAGCGCGUAGGCGGGAUAGUCAGUCAGGUGUGAAAUCCUAUGGCUUAACCAUAGAACUGCAUUUGAAACUACUAUUCUAGAGUGUGGGAGAGGUAGGUGGAAUUCUUGGUGUAGGGGUAAAAUCCGUAGAGAUCAAGAGGAAUACUCAUUGCGAAGGCGACCUGCUGGAACAUUACUGACGCUGAUUGCGCGAAAGCGUGGGGAGCAAACAGGAUUAGAUACCCUGGUAGUCCACGCCCUAAACGAUGGAUGCUAGUUGUUGGAGGGCUUAGUCUCUCCAGUAAUGCAGCUAACGCAUUAAGCAUCCCGCCUGGGGAGUACGGUCGCAAGAUUAAAACUCAAAGGAAUAGACGGGGACCCGCACAAGCGGUGGAGCAUGUGGUUUAAUUCGAAGAUACACGAAGAACCUUACCUAGGCUUGACAUUGAGAGAAUCCGCUAGAAAUAGUGGAGUGUCUAGCUUGCUAGACCUUGAAAACAGGUGCUGCACGGCUGUCGUCAGCUCGUGUCGUGAGAUGUUGGGUUAAGUCCCGCAACGAGCGCAACCCCCUUUCUUAGUUGCUAACAGGUCAUGCUGAGAACUCUAAGGAUACUGCCUCCGUAAGGAGGAGGAAGGUGGGGACGACGUCAAGUCAUCAUGGCCCUUACGCCUAGGGCUACACACGUGCUACAAUGGGGUGCACAAAGAGAAGCAAUACUGCGAAGUGGAGCCAAUCUUCAAAACACCUCUCAGUUCGGAUUGUAGGCUGCAACUCGCCUGCAUGAAGCUGGAAUCGCUAGUAAUCGCAAAUCAGCCAUGUUGCGGUGAAUACGUUCCCGGGUCUUGUACUCACCGCCCGUCACACCAUGGGAGUUGUGUUUGCCUUAAGUCAGGAUGCUAAA